ACGGAGGAUGCAAGCGUUAUCCGGAUUUAUUAGGUUUAAAGGGUGCGUAGGCGGAGACUUAAGUCAGGGGUAAAAGGCAAUAGCUUAACUAAUGUAAGCCAUUGAUACUGGGUUUCUUGAGUUCGGUAGAGGUAGGCGGAAUGUGUUGUGUAGCGGUGAAAUGCAUAGAUAUGACACAGAACGCCGAUCGCGAAGGCAGCUUACGAUAUUGUUACUGACGCUGAUGCACGAAAGCGUGGGGAUCAAACAG
RNAcentral lists this ribosomal RNA (250 nucleotides) under uncultured prokaryote. RNAcentral's name for it is "partial 16S rRNA". It matches the Rfam family "Bacterial small subunit ribosomal RNA", at positions 525 to 775 of the family's 1533-position model. The record is from RNAcentral.